GAAAGCACGACAUUGCUCACAUUGCUUCCAGUGUUUACUUUAGCCAGCCGGGUGCUGGCUUCUUUUU
This 67-nucleotide non-coding RNA is filed under the name Photorhabdus luminescens. The record is from RNAcentral. Lineage: Bacteria; Pseudomonadati; Pseudomonadota; Gammaproteobacteria; Enterobacterales; Morganellaceae.